RNAcentral lists this non-coding RNA (167 nucleotides) under human gut metagenome. RNAcentral describes it as "Lysine riboswitch". It matches the Rfam family "Lysine riboswitch aptamer". Rfam says of the family: Riboswitches are metabolite binding domains within certain messenger RNAs that serve as precision sensors for their corresponding targets. Allosteric rearrangement of mRNA structure is mediated by ligand binding, and this results in modulation of gene expression. This family includes riboswitches that sense lysine in a number of genes involved in lysine metabolism, including lysC. The record is from RNAcentral.
AUAUAGAGGUGCAGGUAACAAGAGUACUUUCAGGAAGAGUAGCGUUGAUGAUCUGGAAGAAAAGGGUUAACUGCCGAAGUAUAAGUAACUGCUAGGUUAUUAUACUGGUUUUGUGCCAAAUAGGUAUAAGACUGUCACCAAUGAUAAGCUUGGUGGAGCGCUAUCUC